This 240-nucleotide ribosomal RNA is filed under the name uncultured Colwellia sp. RNAcentral describes it as "partial 16S ribosomal RNA". It matches the Rfam family "Bacterial small subunit ribosomal RNA", at positions 590 to 829 of the family's 1533-position model. The record is from RNAcentral. Lineage: Bacteria; Pseudomonadati; Pseudomonadota; Gammaproteobacteria; Alteromonadales; Colwelliaceae.
AGAUGUGAAAGCCCAGGGCUCAACCUUGGAACUGCAUUUUGAACUGUUCGACUAGAGUACUGUAGAGGGUGGUGGAAUUUCCAGUGUAGCGGUGAAAUGCGUAGAGAUUGGAAGGAACAUCAGUGGCGAAGGCGGCCACCUGGACAGAUACUGACGCUGAGGAACGAAAGCGUGGGGAGCGAACAGGAUUAGAUACCCUGGUAGUCCACGCCGUAAACGAUGUCWACUAGCCGUUUGUGG